This 245-nucleotide ribosomal RNA is filed under the name uncultured bacterium. RNAcentral describes it as "partial small subunit ribosomal RNA". It matches the Rfam family "Bacterial small subunit ribosomal RNA", at positions 26 to 285 of the family's 1533-position model. The record is from RNAcentral.
AGAAUCAACGCUGGCGGCGUGCCUAACACAUGCAAGUCGAACGAGAAAGUGGAGCAAUCCAUGAGUAAAGUGGCGACCGGGUGAGUAACACGUGACUAACCUACCUUCGAGUGGGGGAUAACAUCGGGAAACCGAUGCUAAUACCGCAUAACAUCGCAAGAUCAAAGCAGUAAUGCGCUUGAAGAGGGGGUCGCGGCUGAUUAGCUAGUUGGCGGGGUAACGGCCCACCAAGGCGAAGAUCGGUA